This is a long non-coding RNA of Maniola jurtina (meadow brown), 168 nucleotides long. RefSeq lists it as uncharacterized. The transcript is spliced from 3 exons. Lineage: Eukaryota; Metazoa; Arthropoda; Insecta; Lepidoptera; Nymphalidae. The record is from RefSeq and is a predicted model, not a curated record.
UGAAGUGGCAAUGGGCAGGUCAUGUCUGUCGCAGAACCGACGGCCGAUGGGGCAGACGUGUUCUGGAGUGGAGACUGCGUACCUGUAAGCGCAGUGUGGGACGACCUCCAGCCCGCUGGACCGAUGAUCUGAAGAAGGUGGUGGGGAGCGAAUUGUUGAGAAAAUCGA